AACGCGAAGAACCUUACCAGGUCUUGACAUCUGGCGAACCUUUCUGAAAGGAGAGGGUGCCUUCGGGAGCGCCAAGACAGGUGGUGCAUGGUUGUCGUCAGCUCGUGUCGUGAGAUGUUGGGUUAAGUCCCGCAACGAGCGCAACCCUUGCUAUUAGUUGCUAACAGGUUAAGCUGAGCACUCUAAUGGGACUGCCGGUGACAAGCCGGAGGAAGGUGGGGAUGACGUCAAAUCAUCAUGCCCUUUAUGACCUGGGCUACACACGUGCUACAAUGGAUGGUACAGAGAGCUGCAAUGCCGUGAGGUGGAGCGGAUCUCAAAAAGCCAUUCUCAGUUCGGAUUGUAGUCUGCAACUCGACUACAUGAAGUCGGAAUCGCUAGUAAUCGCGAAUCAGCAUGUCGCGGUGAAUGCGUUCCCGGGUCUUGUACACACCG
This 435-nucleotide ribosomal RNA is filed under the name uncultured bacterium. RNAcentral describes it as "bacterial SSU rRNA". It matches the Rfam family "Bacterial small subunit ribosomal RNA", at positions 958 to 1392 of the family's 1533-position model. The record is from RNAcentral.